This 253-nucleotide ribosomal RNA is filed under the name uncultured bacterium. RNAcentral describes it as "partial 16S ribosomal RNA". It matches the Rfam family "Bacterial small subunit ribosomal RNA", at positions 524 to 776 of the family's 1533-position model. The record is from RNAcentral.
UACGUAGGGUGCAGGCGUUAAUCGGAUUUACUGGGCGUAAAGGAUGCGUAGGCGGACAUUUAAGUCAGAUGUGAAAUACCCGAGCUUAACUUGGGUGCUGCAUUUGAAACUGGGUGUCUAGAGUGCAGGAGAGGUAAGUGGAAUUCCUAGUGUAGCGGUGAAAUGCGUAGAGAUUAGGAAGAACACCAGUGGCGAAGGCGACUUACUGGACUGUAACUGACGCUGAGGCAUGAAAGCGUGGGGAGCAAACAGG